RNAcentral lists this ribosomal RNA (330 nucleotides) under uncultured Anaerolineaceae bacterium. RNAcentral describes it as "bacterial SSU rRNA". It matches the Rfam family "Bacterial small subunit ribosomal RNA", at positions 1039 to 1382 of the family's 1533-position model. Lineage: Bacteria; Bacillati; Chloroflexota; Anaerolineae; Anaerolineales; Anaerolineaceae. The record is from RNAcentral.
UGUUGCAUGGCUGUCGUCAGCUCGUGUCGUGAGAUGUUCCGGUUAAGUCCGCUAACGAGCGCAACCCUCGCCGUAUGUUACAAGUGUCAUACGGGACUGCCGGUAAAAAGCCGGAGGAAGGUGAGGAUGAUGUCAAGUCAGCAUGACCUUUAUAUCCAGGGCUACACACACGCUACAAUGGUCUGUACAAUUGGUUGCCAAGCCGCGAGGCGGAGCCAAUCCGUAAAGCAGGCCUCAGUUCAGAUUGCAGUCUGCAACUCGACUGCAUGAAGCCGGAGUUGCUAGUAACCGCAGGUCAGCAAUACUGCGGUGAAUACGUUCCCGGGUCUU